GCUUACGACCAUACCGCGUUGAAAGCACCAGUGCUCGUCCGAUCAUUGAAGUUAACCAACGACAAGCGCAGUUAGUACUAGUAGUACUAGCUUUGGCGACACUUGGGAACACUUACGUAGACUACUCU
This 128-nucleotide ribosomal RNA is filed under the name Lottia gigantea (owl limpet). The record is from RNAcentral. Lineage: Eukaryota; Metazoa; Mollusca; Gastropoda; Lottiidae.